This 120-nucleotide ribosomal RNA is filed under the name Vigna angularis (adzuki bean). Lineage: Eukaryota; Viridiplantae; Streptophyta; Magnoliopsida; Fabales; Fabaceae. The record is from RNAcentral.
AGGUGUGAUCAUACCAGCACUAUUGCAUUGUAUCCCAUCAGGAACUCCGCAGUGAAGCAUGUUUGGGCGAGAGUAGUACUAGGAUGGGUGACCUCCUAGGAAGUCCUCGUGUUGCACCUC